AUGCUUCUUCAAUGAACCACUAGGAAAAAAGGCACGCACCGUCGUCGUUGUCCACUUUAUUGGAGCAUAAAAUGUGAAAAAGGCUCCUUAUUCACCGCCUUCUUCU
Non-coding RNA from Caenorhabditis elegans, 106 nucleotides. NCBI's taxonomy places the organism in Eukaryota, Metazoa, Nematoda, Chromadorea, Rhabditida, Rhabditidae. The record is from Ensembl.